This 496-nucleotide ribosomal RNA is filed under the name uncultured bacterium. Its description in RNAcentral is "bacterial SSU rRNA". It matches the Rfam family "Bacterial small subunit ribosomal RNA", at positions 29 to 518 of the family's 1533-position model. The record is from RNAcentral.
AUGAACGCUGGCGGCGUGCCUAAUACAUGCAAGUCGAACGGGCGAGAUCCAGCUUGCUGGAUUUAGCUAGUGGCGAACGGGUGAGUAAUACGUAAGCAACCUGCCUGCAAGGACCGGGAUAACACCUGGAAACGGGCGCUAAUACCGGAUAGGUAGCGAGGGGGCAUCCUCUUGUUAUUAAAGGUUAGAAACACAAGCAGAUGGGCUUACGGUGCAUUAGCUAGUUGGUGAGGUAACGGCCCACCAAGGCGAUGAUGCAUAGCCGGCCUGAGAGGGUGAACGGCCACAUUGGGACUGAGACACGGCCCAGACUCCUACGGGAGGCAGCAGUAGGGAAUUUUCGGCAAUGGGCGCAAGCCUGACCGAGCAACGCCGCGUGAGUGAUGAAGGUUUUCGGAUUGUAAAGCUCUGUUGUAAGGGAAGAAUGGUGCGGAUAGAAUCUGCAAAUGACGGUACCUUACCAGAAAGCCACGGCUAACUACGUGCCAGCAGCGGC